CUCACCCUCUUACCUGCCAGGUGAGACACAGGAGAAAAAAAACACUCAGUCCUCAGAGAUCAUUUCACUCCCUCGGUGAAUACGGCAGCUCCUUCAUCACUCUGGUGCCACUUGAUUACCUGGAGGACAGGGGGGGUUGUCUCACAGUUUCUGUUGCCCAUACAGCUGGAAACUUUGCCUGGGAAUUUCUGUUUUCAAAAAUUUCAGUCAUUGUUUCUGGUCGUGUGUGUAACAUGCAUCCAAGGCCAAAGAGAGGAGCCACAGUGGAGGUUUGGAUGGAUUGUAGUUUGACUGCAGUCUUCAGACUGAGGUACAGAAUUGAUCUCUGCUUUGGACAAAUGUCUGAUGUCUGUGAGGAGGAAGAGGGCCAAAUAGAUGCCAGCAUGAAACUCUGCUGAGCUCAGCUGCCUGGAGAGCUAAAUCUGCAUCUUGACUGUAGAAUGUAUUGAUCUGUUAAAGCUGCAUAGCCACAUGGUGGUCCUCCUCUUUUAACACAUCUCAUCUGAAGAGCAUUUUAAUUUUCAAGGCCACCAGGAGCAAAACAGAUCCUGUCUGCUUUCGACACUUUUUAAUCUCCAAACAACAGCAGUGGCUGCUUUUCUGGUUAUGGAGGUGUAGCUACCAGUAGUUUGGUUGUGACAUAUCCCACUGAGGGCAUGGCAGUGGUGUUACCACAUGCAGACGAGGCAUCAGUAUGUCAGGUAUGUUGGUGAACCAGAUCCACUCAGCCAUUCUCAGAUGAUGGGUGUAACUCUGUACUUUCCUUGCAAGUGGCAUGAUUUAUUAAAACUGUUGACAAUAAAAGACUACCUGACACUAUGCACAAGGAAGUGAUGGCACAUUAUUGAGUUUGAGAUGAGUCAGGAUCAAAGUGGAAUGUUGUAUAUUAGCUUCUGCUCACAGUGAAUGUAUUUGUGUGGCUGUUCCUGCAGAAAUAAAUGAGGAAUGAUUGUGCGGAACUCACUACAUGGAAGAGCUUUGUCUUAGCAGUCUUUUAGCUUGUGGUUAAUAUUUGUGUACGCAAACAGCUGGAGGUCUACACAGCUCAAACAGGUUUCUUCAAGCCUGGGUUCAUUUGAUAAAGCCGAGGUGCAGAGUGAAUUUGUGUGAAUACUGACCAGCACUACCUGCAAUAACACUGCUAACAGGUGAGUGAGACAUUAUUUAACAUUCAGAUGACCCUUGGGCGUCAGGCAACACUGCUGCAAUUUUAAAUAUGCUAUUUUUGUAAUGUAGAUUUGCUGUGGGCCUGUAGUUCCAGCAGGUCAGUGGCUGGAGGGACGAGAUGCAGCUUAAGAUAACACAAACAAAAUGCCUUUUCCGUCUUUCCUGAAAAGCUUAAAACCUGUACUACAGGUAGACGGUGUGUAUUCUGUGGUGAGGCAACAUUCUGACAAUAAAAACGCAAAGUGUGGUGUAUAAAUGACUCAAAGAAACCUUAAGGUAUUCCUCGAGGGUUAUUUGAGGCCUCCGUUUAACAGGUUGAACUGCGACACGCUGAGCGGCCUCAGGUGUUUCAGGGGCCUCACUGUGACUGAAUGAGUCGCACUCAUGAACAGUGGAAAUGCUGAUACAGUUUAUUACAUUUUGAGAUGCUAUAGAUAAAAGCAACUUGUUAAUUCAUUUUACUUAAAAAAAAGUUCUGUUACAGCAAGUGCCAACAUGAGUUGAUUCAUGAUCUGUAGAUUGCAUACAAGCCCUGGAUUAAAGAACAUAAAAAAACAUAGCACUCGAUGUUUGAUGUAGACAGCACUUGAUCCCAAAGUAAUGUCUGAUGCACAACAUCCACAAAUACACAAAGAGGCAUCCUGAUCUCAUCAAUUUUGUACUUUUUUUCCCCCUCAGUUUUCAACACGUCCACACGGUGGUGCUCUCACCAAAGAAUAAAUAAGGAGUCCCACCUCUGUGGGUGUGGUAGCUCUGCUACAACCACAACUACUUUAAGCUCUUCCCAUUUUCAAAUCCCUGAAAACAAUUACAAACAUAUGGCACAAAUCUCAUUCUGUCAACAGUUAGCACAUCAUAUAUCUCCAUAACAUCUGUGUGUUUGUCCUUGGCAACGCAAACAUCUCACACUUUCUCUGAAUGGGGAGGGAGUCAUUCUGGAAGGCGGUUUAUAAUUUCAACAUUUAUUACGACGUGUGAACUUGGAAGCAGCACUGAAUGGUCAAAGAGUCACUUUGUGGCCACCAGAAAAAAUAUCAGUAAACUUAAAAGCCUGAUUGUGUUCUUCAUUUUCCUCAUCACCCUUAUUCCAUAUGAACAGAAAAUAAUGGAUCCCGGAGUUGUAAAAAUGCUAAAAUAGGUCCCUUUGAGUAGUAGUAAUAUAAAUUAGAGCUGAUCCUGUGACUGAUCUUCCUCCAUCCAGACGCCUUCUAUUGUGGGAAUGUUUGUCUUUUCUGCAGGCAGGAAGUGACGUCUGCCUUUGAGCUGGACACAAAGAAGAGGACUGGAAGUGACAGCGGGGAAACUUUUAGAGGAGACAAUCUGAGGAAAGACCAACAAAAUACUGUAAAAAAAUAAAAUAUAAAGGUUCCCUUUCUGAACAAAUAUAACAAGUGGGAGAUAAAGAAAAGGAAUGAAAAGAGAAGCGUGUGUUUUCCAAAAUGGGGAACAGAAUUGGUAGCAAAAUUAAGAAAACAAAAAAGAUAUUUACAUUUAAAUAAAACAGGAGCAAAUAUUCAAUCGCACAACGUCUGUGCCGUAAGCACAAGCAUGAGUUCAGGUUUGACACAGACAAGCAAUGUACAUGCAUUUCAUUUUGGUACUGGUUCUUUUACGGGCCAGUUUUGGUUUGUAAAUGACGAGGCCGAUGUGGAGUGGCAGAAAGGUGAUAUAUUGUACAGCAGUAUAUGAGCUGACAUAUUUUGUUCAUUCACAAAGAGAGAGAUUAUUGGCUUCUUGUGGCUUUAGCCCUUUCUGACAACAAAGAGGGAGCCAGAUAGUUUGAUAUAGAGCUGAAAUGCAGGUACACAGUUGUACACUUUCAGUAAGCAUGCACAUAGAAACAGUGAGUCAUACACAAGAGUAUCAUCCAUCCACAGUUUGAAGGGUGACGGGGUUGAAAAGUGCCCCUCACAAGCAGAAGACGACAGCCUACGACAGCCAGUUAAAUGUCCAUGGAUCAUCACAAAGCUCCACCUCCUCUGCACUGGAACAAGGUGGUACAACAGGUCAAAGCCAAAACUACCAGCAUCUUGAUAAAGGCUUAUGUUUUGUGUGUAGUUUGAAUACAGCAACAGGAGCGUAUCCCUCCGGGGUCGUAUGCUGUGUGGCACAUGGAGAGGGCCUGUUGAGUCUCGUUGCGCAAUGUGAUGAGAACAGAACUGCAGCAUGGAUGUACAAAGCAGCUGCCAUGUUGGUAUCUAAGACACUGUAGCAGCCAGGCACGUCCCAUGAAAGAGUCAUGAGGGAUUUUGAGAUUGCAUGGUUAUAUCCAGCAGAGGCCUUGAGCCCUUGUGACGGCAUGGUCCACAGAUGGGACGAACAUCAGCACAUGAUGACGACAGAAGGUGAGGCGCCAGUUCCUCUGUUUCCAACAGCUAAAGGGGGGGGGGGG
This is a long non-coding RNA of Epinephelus moara (kelp grouper), 3559 nucleotides long. RefSeq lists it as uncharacterized. The transcript is spliced from 2 exons. NCBI's taxonomy places the organism in Eukaryota, Metazoa, Chordata, Actinopteri, Perciformes, Serranidae. The record is from RefSeq and is a predicted model, not a curated record.